This 253-nucleotide ribosomal RNA is filed under the name uncultured bacterium. Its description in RNAcentral is "partial 16S ribosomal RNA". It matches the Rfam family "Bacterial small subunit ribosomal RNA", at positions 524 to 776 of the family's 1533-position model. The record is from RNAcentral.
UACGAAGGGGGCUAGCGUUGCUCGGAAUCACUGGGCGUAAAGCGCACGUAGGCGGCUUCUUAAGUCAGGGGUGAAAUCCUGGAGCUCAACUCCAGAACUGCCUCUGAUACUGAGGAGCUCGAGUCCGGGAGAGGUGAGUGGAACUCCGAGUGUAGAGGUGAAAUUCGUAGAUAUUCGCAAGAACACCAGUGGCGAAGGCGGCUCACUGGCCCGAUACUGACGCUGAGGUGCGAAAGCGUGGGGAGCAAACAGG